RNAcentral lists this small RNA (596 nucleotides) under Pan troglodytes (chimpanzee). RNAcentral describes it as "processed transcript". Lineage: Eukaryota; Metazoa; Chordata; Mammalia; Primates; Hominidae. The record is from RNAcentral.
AGAUUCUCGCAAAUGUGGAAGCGGAUCGCGUGGAGUGACGGUCACACCGCGGCGAAUUAAUUUCCAAAGACUCAUGUUACAUGAGAAAGCCACCAAGAAGACCAAAGAAAAGGAGACAAGGAUGGCUCUUCCUCAGGGAUGCUUGACUUUCAGGGAUGUGGCUAUAGAAUUCUCUUUGGAGGAGUGGAAAUGCCUGAACCCUGCACAGAGGGCUUUAUACAGGGCCGUGAUGUUGGAGAACUACAGGAACCUGGAGUCUGUGGAUAGCUCUUUAAAAUCCAUGAUGGAGUUCUCAUCAACAGGGCACGGUAAUACAGGAGAAGUGAUCCACACAGGGACAUUGCAAAGACAUAAAAGUCAUCACAUUGGAGAUUUUUGCUUCCCAGAAAUCAAGAAAGAUAUUCAUGACUUUGAGUUUCAGUGGCAAGAAAUUAAAAGAAAUGGCCAUGAAGCACCCAUGACAAAAAUCAAAAAGUUGACUGGUAGUACAGACCGAUGUGAUCAAAGACAUGCUGGAAACAAGCCUAUUAAAGAUCAGCUUGGAUCAAGCUUUUAUUCACAUCUGCCUGAACUGCACGAGUUUCAGACUGAAGGGA